UACGGAGGGUGCAAGCGUUAUCCGGAUUCACUGGGUUUAAAGGGUGCGUAGGUGGAUUAAUAAGUCAGUGGUGAAAGCCCCGAGCUCAACUUGGGAAUUGCCAUUGAUACUGUUAGUCUUGAGUUCGGUUGAGGUAGGCGGAAUAAGUCAUGUAGCGGUGAAAUGCUUAGAUAUGACUUAGAACACCAAUUGCGAAGGCAGCUUACCAAGCCGAUACUGACACUGAUGCACGAAAGCGUGGGGAUCAAACAGG
RNAcentral lists this non-coding RNA (253 nucleotides) under uncultured bacterium. Its description in RNAcentral is "partial 16S ribosomal RNA". It matches the Rfam family "Bacterial small subunit ribosomal RNA", at positions 524 to 776 of the family's 1533-position model. RNAcentral also lists the same sequence under 1 other name. The record is from RNAcentral.